CCCUUAGAUGUUCUGGGCUGCACGCGCGCUACACUGAAGCGUUCAACGAGUAUUCACCUUGCCCGGGAGGGUUGGGUAAUCUUUUGAAAACGCUUCGUGAUGGGGAUAGACUUUUGCAAUUUUUGGUCUUCAACGAGGAAUUCCUAGUAAACGCAAGUCAUCAACUUGCAUUGAUUACGUCCCUGCCCUUUGUACACACCGCCCGUCGCACCUACCGAUUGAAUGGUCCGGUGAAGCCUCCGGAUUGGCGCGCACCUCGGUGCCGCCGAGAAGUUGGCUAAACCUUACCAUUUAGAGGAAGGUGAAGUCGUAACA
This 315-nucleotide ribosomal RNA is filed under the name uncultured eukaryote. RNAcentral describes it as "partial 18S ribosomal RNA". It matches the Rfam family "Eukaryotic small subunit ribosomal RNA", at positions 1470 to 1796 of the family's 1831-position model. The record is from RNAcentral.